RNAcentral lists this ribosomal RNA (355 nucleotides) under uncultured fungus. Its description in RNAcentral is "eukaryotic LSU rRNA". It matches the Rfam family "Eukaryotic large subunit ribosomal RNA", at positions 40 to 398 of the family's 3401-position model. Lineage: Eukaryota; Fungi. The record is from RNAcentral.
AUAUCAAUAAGCGGAGGAAAGAAACCAACCGGAUUGCCUCAGUAACGGCGAGUGAAGCGGCAAGAGCUCAAAUUUGAAAUCUGGCCCCUCUGGGUCCGAGUUGUAAUUUGCAGAGGAUGCUUCGGGUGCGGUCCCCGUCUAAGUGCCCUGGAACGGCCCGUCAUAGAGGGUGAGGAUCCCGUCUGGGAUGGGCGCCGCGCCGUGUGAAGCUCCUUCGACGAGUCGAGUUGUUUGGGAAUGCAGCUCUAAGCGGGUGGUAAAUUUCAUCUAAAGCUAAAUACUGCCGGAGACCGAUAGCGCACAAGUAGAGUGAUCGAAAGAUGAAAAGCACUUUGAAAAGAGAGUUAAACAGCAC